This 491-nucleotide ribosomal RNA is filed under the name uncultured Dioszegia. RNAcentral describes it as "eukaryotic LSU rRNA". The stretch from base 145 to 298 matches the Rfam family "5.8S ribosomal RNA". Lineage: Eukaryota; Fungi; Basidiomycota; Tremellomycetes; Tremellales; Bulleribasidiaceae. The record is from RNAcentral.
UCCGUAGGUGAACCUGGGGAAGGAUCAUUAAUAAAUGGCGAAGCUUUCGAGCCUAGCUUUUAUCAUCCUAUACACCUGUGAACUAUUUGCCUUCGGGCACCAAACAAACAUAAUGUAAUGAAUGUAAUCUACUAUAAUAAAUACAACUUUCAACAACGGAUCUCUUGGCUCUCACAUCGAUGAAGAACGCAGCGAAAUGCGAUAAGUAAUGUGAAUUGCAGAAUUCAGUGAAUCAUCGAAUCUUUGAACGCAAAUUGCGCCCUUUGGUAUUCCGAAGGGCAUGCCUGUUUGAGUGUCUUAUAAACCUCACCCCUAAUGUUUCAUUACAAUAGGUUGGUGCUUUGGGUGUUGCCAUUUACCUGGCUCGCCUUAAAUGUCUAAGUGGAAUGCGUAAUAAGUUCUCGCAACCCUCCACUCUAAUACAAUUUAUAUUCUGACCUCAAAUCAGGUAGGACUACCCGCUGAACUUAAGCAUAUCAAUAAGCGGAGGA